CACGUAGGAGGCGAGCGUGGUCCGGAAUCAUUGGGCGUAAAGGGCGCGUAGGCGGCUUGGCAAGUCGGGUGUGAAAUCCCGGGGCUCAACCCCGGGACUGCAUUCGAUACUGUCAGGCUAGAGGUAGGUAGGGGAGAUCGGAAUUCCUGGUGUAGCGGUGAAAUGCGUAGAUAUCUGGAGGAACACCGGUGGCGAAGGCGGCGUUCUGGACUGCAACUGACACUGAGGAACGAAAGCCAGGGGAGCAAACGGG
Molecule: ribosomal RNA, 253 nt
Filed under: uncultured bacterium
Lineage: Bacteria
Description: partial 16S ribosomal RNA
Rfam family: Bacterial small subunit ribosomal RNA
Source: RNAcentral